AAUGGACGCAAGUCUGAUCCACCCAUGCCGCGUGGUGGAUGACGGCCUCUGGGUUGUAAACACCUUUUAUGUAGGGAUAACGAGGUUCUAUAGGAACCCUUGCAGGUACUACAUGAAUAAGCACCGGCUAACUACGUGCCAGCAGCCGCGGUAAUACGUAGGGUGCAAGCGUUGUCCGGAUUUAUUGGGUUUAAAGGGUGCGCAGGCGGCUUAUUAAGUUAGUGGUGAAAUCACCCGGCUCAACCGGGUACCCGCCAUUGAUACUGGUAAGCUUGAGUAUGUUCGAGGAGAUUGGAACGUGUAGUGUAGCGGUGAAAUGCAUAGAUAUUACGCAGAACACCAAUUGCGAAGGCAGAUCUCUGGGACAUAACUGACGCUGAGGCACGAAAGCGUGGGGAGCGAACAGGAUU
RNAcentral lists this ribosomal RNA (410 nucleotides) under uncultured Gammaproteobacteria bacterium. Its description in RNAcentral is "bacterial SSU rRNA". It matches the Rfam family "Bacterial small subunit ribosomal RNA", at positions 370 to 779 of the family's 1533-position model. The record is from RNAcentral. Lineage: Bacteria; Pseudomonadati; Pseudomonadota; Gammaproteobacteria.